Long non-coding RNA from Frankliniella occidentalis (western flower thrips), 904 nucleotides. RefSeq lists it as uncharacterized. NCBI's taxonomy places the organism in Eukaryota, Metazoa, Arthropoda, Insecta, Thysanoptera, Thripidae. The transcript has 3 exons. The record is from RefSeq and is a predicted model, not a curated record.
UGGAGUCGACAUCGGUGGUCGUCGUGGUCCUCGCCGCGGUCCUCGCCGCCCUCUGCCUGCUGCUAACGGCCGUGGACGCAAACCCCGUACCCCCGCUUGCCACCCCGACUAAAACUGCAGAGAUCUACACUUGCUCCGCCCAAGGCGAACGCAUAGAGGAGUGCAAGCUGACCGAACCACAGAACGCGAAUCGGUUGAACUGCAGCAGCCUCUGCAACGACCCCAGCCAGCUGGUCGUCUACAGGGAGAAGGAUGACGCGACCAAGUCAUGCGAGCUACUGCCAUUCACUAAAAUUAAGCACCCCUCGAAAUGGGGCACCGUGUCCAAGGGAAUCUGCGCACCAGAACACGUUCAGUUGGAAAUUCUGCAUGGAACCAUUAACGUUUGGCACCUCACGUGGGACGGGGUGCCGAACCACGACGAAAAUUGCGAUGCGCCCGACACGAGUCUCGUCUACAGAUCGGAAUGUGAUACUCCCCAAAACUGCAAGAAGCCUCGGUACCGGUGCGCACAACAUCGCAUAAUGCACCAGGUCCGGGAUGUCACAAUCUGCCACCUCGCCAUCGACUCCCACGCGGAAAGGUGUUCGUAGCAAUUUACACAAACAAAAUGGAGGUACGAUAGUGAUUUUUUUCGUACCCACAACAAAGACUUUAAUGGGGUAAGUCCUAGGCCUUCCUUUGAUUGUAGUUAAUUGUGCCAAAACGAGUAUUUGAUGUUCCCUCCUGUCUCGAGUCACAAAAAAAAGUGAUACGUGUUAAAAUUCUAGUCUCGUGUGACAAAUGUUCACAGUUUAUUUAUCGAUUUACUAUGGCCAUUGGCCAACGUUACACUGGAACAACGUUUCUCUAUUCAUUGAUUUUGGAUAUCGCGUGGCGUUAUUCUGUAAGGAUACACUGAUAA